AUCGGCUGAUGAUAACUUUGAUAGGGACAUCUGAUGUCUAUGAUUGAUUUAUCAUUUUUUAACUGACUGUU
Drosophila busckii is the source of this 71-nucleotide small nucleolar RNA. It matches the Rfam family "Small nucleolar RNA Me28S-Cm2645". From Rfam's summary of the family: Me28S-Cm2645 is a member of the C/D class of snoRNA which contain the C (UGAUGA) and D (CUGA) box motifs. This family directs 2'-O-methylation of 28S C-2645. The record is from Rfam. NCBI's taxonomy places the organism in Eukaryota, Metazoa, Arthropoda, Insecta, Diptera, Drosophilidae.